AGUGAACGCUGGCGGUAGGCCUAACACAUGCAAGUCGAACGGCAGCACAGUAAGAGCUUGCUCUUACGGGUGGCGAGUGGCGGACAAGUGAGGAAUACAUCGGAAUCUACUUUUUCGUGGGGGAUAACGUAGGGAAACUUACGCUAAUACCGCAUACGACCUACGGGUGAAAGCAGGGGAACUUCGGACCUUGCGCGAUUGAAUGAGCCGAUGUCGGAUUAGCUAGUUGGCGGGGUAAAGGCCCACCAAGGCGACGAUCCGUAGCUGGUCUGAGAGGAUGAUCAGCCACACUGGAACUGAGACACGGUCCAGACUCCUACGGGAGGCAGCAGUGGGGAAUAUUGGACAAUGGGCGAAAGCCUGAUCCAGCCAUACCGCGUGGGUGAAGAAGGCCUUCGGGUUGUAAAGCCCUUUUGUUGGGAAAGAAAAGCAGCAGGUUAAUACCCCGCUGUUCUGACGGUACCCAAAGAAUAAGCACCGGCUAACUUCGUG
RNAcentral lists this ribosomal RNA (492 nucleotides) under uncultured bacterium. RNAcentral's name for it is "partial 16S ribosomal RNA". It matches the Rfam family "Bacterial small subunit ribosomal RNA", at positions 29 to 507 of the family's 1533-position model. The record is from RNAcentral.